Molecule: non-coding RNA, 1139 nt
Organism: Camellia sinensis
Lineage: Eukaryota; Viridiplantae; Streptophyta; Magnoliopsida; Ericales; Theaceae
Source: RefSeq, a predicted model, not a curated record
CAUGUGUCAUAGAUACCAAUAACAAAUUCCAAUCUACAGAGCCAUAGGCCUUGAUUAAAUCAAUUUUGAACACACACCUUGUUGGUCCUUCAUUUCUGUGAUAAACUCUAACCACCUCUUGCAUCAAUAAAAUGUUAUCAAGUGAGUAGAAAGCUUAUCCAGAACAUAACUUUGGUUGCUGCUCUAAUCUUACACCUCAUCCAGGGUGGAAUGGAAAAAAACACAUAUAUAGACAUGGGAGAUUUUGUUUCUUGUUUUUCCUCAAAGUUGUUUCUCCCCUUUUCCACAAACCUUGUCCCAGUUAUUUAUUUUGGUUGAGUCACAAAGUUGAUUGUCUUUUAGCCAAACUAGAAAUUAGACAAAUUUGGGAUGCAAGGAAGUGAUACGUAUGGCUGCAUUUCUUUAAAAUUAUUGAUAUAUUUUUAGCUCUUCUCCUUUUUGUCUAAAUUGGAGAGGGGUUGUUGAAAAUUGGAUUGGCAACAAAACUGCAAGAGCCUCUAUAGCUUGUAAAUACCAAUGUAAUUCUUUUUCUAGUUUUCUUCUUUUUCUAAAAGUCAAAGUCAAGUCUCUAAAAGUAUAGUUUUCGUUUUGCAUUUCAAGAAGGUGAUUCUAUUUCUUUCAGGUUUCUGUCUGGUGGGUUUUGUGCUUUUUUUUCUUCUUCUUUUUGUUUAUUUUUUUUUAAGUUACUACAGAAAUCUAUCUAUAGAUUCUGUAAGUGUUUGAUGCCAUGUCUUUAUGUCUGUUUUAUUUUAUUUUAUUUUUGUUUCUUUCAAUAUUAUUCAUUUUGUGGAGUACCAAAGACUCGUGUGCUUAUUUGGAUGACUACUGAGCUUGUAGAUCUGUGAUUAUUCUCCUGAUCAACAUAGAAGCUUUGAUGGAACUAGUAACUCUUUGAUUGGUUUCUGAUGACGUUUAUUAGAAGCAUACUUGCAAAUCAAGAUCAAGUGUUGAAUUUUUUUUCUUGAACUGAUACUUGUUCUAGUUUUAAACCUAGUUGACUGAUAUUUUUUUUGUUGGACUCCGCGUUAGUUCAUUUUGGAAUUUGUUAUGAUGGUUUUUUUUAUUAUACUUAAUGAAUUAUUAUUAAAUUUGUUUGAUGGAUAUAUUUUCAUUUAUGAUAUAAAUUGUUUAGUGAAUUA